RNAcentral lists this ribosomal RNA (301 nucleotides) under uncultured bacterium. Its description in RNAcentral is "partial 16S ribosomal RNA". It matches the Rfam family "Bacterial small subunit ribosomal RNA", at positions 524 to 801 of the family's 1533-position model. The record is from RNAcentral.
GACGUAGGGCGCGAGCGUUGUCCGGAAUUAUUGGGCGUAAAGAGCUCGUAGGCGGUCUGUCGCGUCGAUCGUGAAAAACUUGGGGGCUUUAACCCUGAGCUUGCGGUCGAUACGGGCAUGACUGGGAGUUCGGCAGGGGGAGACUGGAAUUCCUGGUGUAGCGGUGAAAUGCGCAGAUAUCAGGAGGAACACCGGUGGCGAAGGCGGGGUCUCUGGGGCCGAUACUGACGUGAGGGAGCGAAAAAGCGUGGGGGGGAGCAAACAGGGAAUUUAGAAAAACCCCUUUGUAAGUUCCCAGACC